Molecule: ribosomal RNA, 501 nt
Filed under: uncultured bacterium
Lineage: Bacteria
Description: partial 16S ribosomal RNA
Rfam family: Bacterial small subunit ribosomal RNA
Source: RNAcentral
GACGAACGCUGGCGGCGUGCCUAAUACAUGCAAGUCGAACGAACCGCGACUAAGUGCUUGCACUAAGUCAAGGUGAGUGGCGAACGGGUGAGUAACACGUGGGUAGCCUACCUCAUAGUGGGGGAUAACAGUCGGAAACGACUGCUAAUACCGCAUAGGACAUAGGAUCACAUGAUCCAGUGAGGAAAGGUGGCGCAAGCUAUCGCUAAGAGAUGGACCCGCGGUGCAUUAGCUAGUUGGUAGGGUAAAGGCCUACCAAGGCGAUGAUGCAUAGCCGACCUGAGAGGGUGAUCGGCCACAUUGGAACUGAGCACCGGCCCAAACUCCUACGGGAGGCAGCAGUAGGGAAUCUUCCGCACUGGACGCAAGUCUGACGGAGCAACGCCGCGUGAGUGAAGAAGGUCUUCGGAUCGUAAAGCUCUGUUGUUAGAGAAGAACAGCGCAUAGAGUAACUGCUAUGCGUGUGACGGUAUCUAACCAGAAAGCCACGGCUAACUACGU